This 168-nucleotide small nuclear RNA is filed under the name Zea mays. RNAcentral describes it as "U2 spliceosomal RNA". It matches the Rfam family "U2 spliceosomal RNA". Rfam says of the family: U2 is a small nuclear RNA (snRNA) component of the spliceosome (involved in pre-mRNA splicing). Complementary binding between U2 snRNA (in an area lying towards the 5' end but 3' to hairpin I) and the branchpoint sequence (BPS) of the intron results the bulging out of an unpaired adenosine, on the BPS, which initiates a nucleophilic attack at the intronic 5' splice site, thus starting the first of two transesterification reactions that mediate splicing. The record is from Rfam by way of RNAcentral. Lineage: Eukaryota; Viridiplantae; Streptophyta; Magnoliopsida; Poales; Poaceae.
AUUCCUUUCUUGACCUUUUGGCUAUGAUAAUGUGUAAUUUUGUUCUUAUCAGUUUAAUAUCUCAUAUGUGGAUCAUAUGUUCACUUUGAUAUUAUAUUUAUUUUUUAUAAGUACCAAAUAUGAUUGUGUAUCGUCACAAUGCACUAUCAUAAUGCCGGUCAAUCCAAU